RNAcentral lists this ribosomal RNA (460 nucleotides) under uncultured bacterium. Its description in RNAcentral is "bacterial SSU rRNA". It matches the Rfam family "Bacterial small subunit ribosomal RNA", at positions 30 to 474 of the family's 1533-position model. The record is from RNAcentral.
AUUGAACGCUGGCGGCAUGCCUUACACAUGCAAGUCGAACGGCAGCACGGGAGCUUGCUCCUGGUGGCGAGUGGCGAACGGGUGAGUAAUACAUCGGAACGUACCCUGAAGUGGGGGAUAACGUAGCGAAAGUUACGCUAAUACCGCAUAUUCUGUGAGCAGGAAAGAGGGGGAUCGCAAGACCUCUUGCUUUAGGAGCGGCCGAUGUCGGAUUAGCUAGUUGGUGAGGUAAAGGCUCACCAAGGCGACGAUCCGUAGCGGGUCUGAGAGGAUGAUCCGCCACACUGGGACUGAGACACGGCCCAGACUCCUACGGGAGGCAGCAGUGGGGAAUUUUGGACAAUGGGCGCAAGCCUGAUCCAGCCAUGCCGCGUGAGUGAAGAAGGCCUUCGGGUUGGUUAAAGGACGUCUUUCGGUUGGGGUAAGGAAAGUUAGCGACAGGAGUAAUACCUUAGUGUAG